GAUGAAGAACGCAGCGAAAUGCGAUAAGUAGUGUGAAUUGCAGACUUUAGUGAAUCAUCGAAUUUUUGAACGCACAUUGCGCCCCUUGGUAUUCCUUAGGGCAUGCCUGUUCGAGCGUCAUUUAAACCUUCAAGCUCAGCUUGGUGUUGGGUGACUGUCCGCUUCACCGCGGACUCGCCUCAAAAUUAUUGGCGGCCGGUACAUUGGCUUCGAGCGCAGCAGAAACGCGAACUCGGGCCCGUCGUAUUGGCUCCCAGAAGCUAUCUUCACAAUUUUGACCUCGGAUCAGGUAGGGAUACCCGCUGAACUUAAGCAUAUCAAUAAGCGGAGGA
RNAcentral lists this unclassified non-coding RNA (332 nucleotides) under soil metagenome. Its description in RNAcentral is "partial contains 5.8S ribosomal RNA, internal transcribed spacer 2, and large subunit ribosomal RNA". The stretch from base 1 to 120 matches the Rfam family "5.8S ribosomal RNA", at positions 35 to 154 of the family's 154-position model. The record is from RNAcentral.